This 443-nucleotide ribosomal RNA is filed under the name uncultured Acetomicrobium sp. Its description in RNAcentral is "bacterial SSU rRNA". It matches the Rfam family "Bacterial small subunit ribosomal RNA", at positions 338 to 795 of the family's 1533-position model. Lineage: Bacteria; Thermotogati; Synergistota; Synergistia; Synergistales; Acetomicrobiaceae. The record is from RNAcentral.
CCUACGGGGGGCUGCAGUGGGGAAUCUUGGGCAAUGGGCGAAAGCCUGACCCAGCGACGCCGCGUUGGGGAUGAAGCCCUUCGGGGUGUAAACCCAUGUUGUAGGGGACGAAGAAAGUGACGGUACCCUACGAGGAAGCCCCGGCUAACUACGUGCCAGCAGCCGCGGUAAGACGUAGGGGGCAAGCGUUGUCCGGAAUUACUGGGCGUAAAGGGCACGCAGGCGGUGCGCCAAGUCGAGGGUGUAAAGUUACGGCUCAACCGUGACAUUGCAAUCGAUACUGGCGCGCUGGAGUGCGGGAGAGGGAAGUGGAAUUCCCGGUGUAGCGGUGAAAUGCGUAGAUAUCGGGAGGAACGCCAGUGGCGAAGGCGGCUUCCUGGCCCGCGACUGACGCUCAUGUGCGAAAGCCAGGGGAGCGAACCGGCUUAGAUACCCCUGUAGUC